UACGUAGGGUGCAAGCGUUUAUCGGAAUUACUGGGCGUAAAGCGUGCUCAGGCGGUGAUGUUAGUCAGAUGUGAAAUCCCCGGGCUCAACCUGGGAACUGCAUUUGUGACUGCAUCGCUGGAGUGCGGCAGAGGGGGAUGGAAUUCCGCGUGUAGCAGUGAAAUGCGUAGAUAUGCGGAGGAACACCGAUGGCGAAGGCAAUCCCCUGGGCCUGCACUGACGCUCAUGCACGAAAGCGUGGGGAGCAAACAGG
This 253-nucleotide ribosomal RNA is filed under the name uncultured bacterium. RNAcentral describes it as "partial 16S ribosomal RNA". It matches the Rfam family "Bacterial small subunit ribosomal RNA", at positions 524 to 776 of the family's 1533-position model. The record is from RNAcentral.